GACGAACGCUGGCGGCGUGCUUAACACAUGCAAGUCGAACGGAAAGGCCUUCUUUCCCUUGUGUGUUGCGGGUACUCGAGUGGCGAACGGGCGAGUAACACGUGCGUUAUCUGCCCCCAACUUGUGUAUAAGCCUGGGAAACUGGGUCUAAUUCCCUAUAGUACUGCAGGGUGGUUCCUGUGGUUGAAAACGAUUUUCUAGUGGUUGUGGAUGAGCUCGCGGCCUAUCAGCUUGUUGGUGGGGUAGUGGUCUACCAAGGAGGCGACGGGUAGCCUGCCUGAGAGGUUGGACGGCCACAGUGUGACUGCGAUACGGACAAGACUCCUACGGGCGGCAGCAGUGGGGAAUAUUGCACAAGGGGAGGAAGCCUGAUGCAGCGAAGCCGGGUGGGGGAUGACGGCCUUCGGGUUGUAAACUCUUUUGGAGCGCGAGGAAGUCACCUGGUUGGAAGGGUGGUGAAGGUAGUGGUAGAAGAAGCCACGGCUAACUACGUG
This 494-nucleotide ribosomal RNA is filed under the name uncultured bacterium. Its description in RNAcentral is "partial 16S ribosomal RNA". It matches the Rfam family "Bacterial small subunit ribosomal RNA", at positions 28 to 507 of the family's 1533-position model. The record is from RNAcentral.